This 460-nucleotide ribosomal RNA is filed under the name uncultured bacterium. Its description in RNAcentral is "partial 16S ribosomal RNA". It matches the Rfam family "Bacterial small subunit ribosomal RNA", at positions 338 to 795 of the family's 1533-position model. The record is from RNAcentral.
CCUACGGGUGGCAGCAGUGAGGAAUAUUGGUCAAUGGACGUGAGUCUGAACCAGCCAAGUAGCGUGAAGGAUGACUGCCCUAUGGGUUGUAAACUUCUUUUAUAUGGGAAUAAAAUGCUCCACGUGUGGGGUUUUGUAUGUACCUUAUGAAUAAGGAUCGGCUAACUCCGUGCCAGCAGCCGCGGUAAUACGGAGGAUCCGAGCGUUAUCCGGAUUUAUUGGGUUUAAAGGGUGCGUAGGUGGAUUGUUAAGUCAGUUGUGAAAGUUUGCGGCUCAACCGUAGAAUUGCAGUUGAAACUGGGAGGCUUGAGUACGGUAGAGGUAGGCGGAAUGCGUGGUGUAGCGGUGAAAUGCUUAGAUAUCACGAAGAACUCCGAUUGCGAAGGCAGCUCACUGGGCUGCGACUGACGCUGAGGCACGAAAGUGUGGGGAUCAAACAGGAUUAGAUACCCUGGUAGUC